This 312-nucleotide ribosomal RNA is filed under the name Triticum aestivum (bread wheat). RNAcentral's name for it is "partial small subunit ribosomal RNA". Lineage: Eukaryota; Viridiplantae; Streptophyta; Magnoliopsida; Poales; Poaceae. The record is from RNAcentral.
CUUUUUGUACACUGCAGAUUCACACAGCAGGUAUGGCGGCUCUUCAAACAGUGGGCGGGAACCUCUUUCACCCUGCCUGACGUGAGCUUCACCACGACGGAGGAAUGGUGGCUGCAAGCGAGGCGGCAGAUCUCCAAGGCCAUGCGGCGCAACUUUGACACCCUGGUAAUUCUCAUGCAUUGGAGAAUCUGGAAGAAAAGAAACGCCAGGGUUUUUGAUCAAUUAGCCAGCAGUGCAGAUAAAGUCCUGGAUGCAGUCGAGGAUAUUAGUAUUUGGAGGGCAGCGGGUUGUAUCUAUGAUGCAGCCCCUUGA